This 63-nucleotide non-coding RNA is filed under the name Manganibacter manganicus. Its description in RNAcentral is "Pseudaminobacter manganicus Fluoride sequence". It matches the Rfam family "Fluoride riboswitch aptamer (crcB RNA motif)". The record is from Rfam by way of RNAcentral. Lineage: Bacteria; Pseudomonadati; Pseudomonadota; Alphaproteobacteria; Hyphomicrobiales; Phyllobacteriaceae.
UGGAAACAAGGGGAUGGGGUUCCCCAAAACCGCCCGACAAGGGCUGAUGACUCCUGCUGUGUG